GCAGGACAGCUGGAGCCAAGAUCAUUCUGUUGCAAUUCCCACCCGGCCUGCCUUUCUCCACUGUCGGUUACAUGAAACGUUCAGCCAACAUAUGGUCAAAAAGAACACGCACAGAGGUGGUGACUUCAGUGUUCAUCCAUGUGUAAAGGAGGCUCUGAGCAGCGGGAGGCCUGUUGUUGCCUUGGAGAGUACCAUCAUCACACAUGGCAUGCCGUAUCCCCAGAAUCUGAGGAUGGCCAGAGAAGUGGAAGAAAUCGUACAGACAAAUGGGUCAGUCCCGGCAACGAUCGGUGUUUUAAAUGGUCGCAUCCACGUAGGCCUCCAGGAUGAAGAGCUGGAAAUUCUGGCAACGAGCAAAAAUGUCAUGAAGGUGUCUCGGAGAGACCUUCCCUAUGUUCUCAGCCAGGGAUUGUCUGGUGGUACGACUGUAGCAGGAACCAUGAUGGUGGCCCACAAAGCGAGGAUCCCCGUGUUUGUGACAGGAGGAAUUGGAGGAGUCCACCGUGGAGGGGAGAACACUUUGGAUGUGAGCGCGGACCUGACCGAGUUAGGCCGUACUCCGGUUGCCGUGGUUUCUGCAGGUGUCAAGUCCAUUCUCGAUAUUGGCAGGACCCUGGAAUAUCUGGAAACUCAAGGUGUCUGCGUGGCCACUUUUGGAGAAUCAAGAGAGUUUCCAGCCUUCUUCUCCCAUCGGAGUGGCUUCCAGGCACCUUUUCGGGUGCAGAAUGAGGAUGCUGCUGCUCAGCUGAUCGCCACUCAGCCACCUAACGGCUGUGACUUUUCCUUCUCAGCCAGGUCUUUGGCUUUGCAGUUGGGCAGUGGAGUGCUGAUUGCAGUGCCCUGUCCUCAGGACCAAGCUGCUUCCGGACAGCUCAUUGAAGAAGCGAUUCAGCUGGCUUCGAGGGAAGCUCGGGAAAAGGGGAUCACAGGAAAGGAGCUCACACCCUUCUUGCUGCAGAGAGUGAACGAGUUCUCCAGUGGAGAGUCACUAAAAUCCAAUAUUGCCUUGAUCAAGAACAACGCCAGAGUGGGCAGCCGCAUCGCUGCAGCCCUGACUCAAAUCCAAAGAGGCCGGUGCGGGAGAGACGGCUCGCCUCGGCACGAAAAUGCCUCCGUCGCGACAAGUCCGGUGGUCAUCGGUGGCAUCAACGUUGAUAUCAUAGCCAAGGCAAGAGACGCAACAAUGCUGGAUGGAGGGCAGACUAAUCCCUCAACGGUGAGGCAAUCGUUCGGCGGCGUAGGGAGAAACCUAGCAGAUGGCUUAAGUCGUCUUGGGAAGGCUCCAUUCUUUAUCUCCGUCAUGGGGAAAGAUGAGCAUUCUGAGUCCGUCCUGCGCUACUGCAGUCAUAUGGAUAUGAGCGGCGUCUUGAGACUGAAAGGACACAACACCGCCACGUACUGCGCCGUGAUCACAGGCAGUGGAGACCUGGCCCUUGGCUUGGGAGACAUGGACGUCCACCAGCAGAUAACAGAGCAAUACGUGUCUGGGUUCAAGGAGAGGCUGCGCUUGGCCCCACUAGUGUGCAUUGAUGGGAAUGUGCCAGUUUCCACCAUUCAGUACAUCUGUCAGAUUGCCAGAGAUCAGCACCUCGCAGUGUGUUAUGAGCCAACAGAUGUGGACAAGGCUUCAAAGCCGUUCCUUUCGGACAGCUGGAGAGCGCUGGCCUGCAUAUCUCCCAAUCUACGGGAGCUUCGCGCAAUCAAUCGGACCCUGGGACAUCCUGUGCCAGCAGAUCUGCCAUCGAAGCUGGAAGACGUGGUCGAGGCCGCCGUGACCCUGGCCUGCCCCUUACUGAAAGAGUUGCACUGUGUGGUGGUAACACUGGGCCAACAUGGAGUGGUAGUGUGUGGCCGGAACAUGGGUGGCAGCAUCUCUCUCCACCCUGCAACUUUCAAUAAGAACGCGGCAGACGGGCUGUGCGCUGCUCACUACCCAGCGAUCCCUGUCCCCGCGGAGGAGAUAGUGAACGUCUCUGGAGCCGGCGACAGCUUAAUGGCUGGACUCAUUGCUGGGCUGCUUGCCGGAGAGGCCACUGACGACUGCAUCCGGAUGGGCCUCCUGUCCGCCAGCCUCUCCCUGCGCUCUCAUGAACCUGUUUCACCACAGAUCAACGGCGCCAGCAUCAACGCGGCAAGGCUGAAGGCUCAGAGUUGGCCGGUAGCAAAGAGGUGGAAGCUGCCUUAGGCCUUCUAGCUCUACUUGGAAGAGAUGCAGAGACCCCAGCCGGCCGGCUGGCCUUCCAACUUAAGUUGUUCUUUGUACCUGGACCAGUUGGCAGAGAAAAAGAACCCGAGACAGAAGGAUGAAGGUUUCCAAGGUGGCCACCCUCGCGGUGCUUUCGAUGCAGUUUUGUUUCCUGGCUCAAGCCGGUGGGAGGUUGGCCGGGAAAGGCUUGGUGGCGGAAGAUGACCCUGCCGAGGCUGCAACGGCCAAGAAGGCUCUCAGCCCAUCCCACGAAGGAGACAGAGAGGCGGAAAUGAGGAGGCAGCCUUCCCCCAGGUUGUGGAAGGCAGCGGGAGACGCUGGAGCCGGUGGUGGCACCCAGGGCAAAGUGGCAAGCAAACCUCAGCUGGGGACCAGUAAGCAGAAGGCCAGCGGCAAGAGGCAGAUGCCCCCGCCAUCCACACCAAAGAGCAAGAGCCCCGGGCUCCAGAGCCACUUGAAAGCCCACGGGCAGUUUAAUAUGGACACGUAUUCCUGUCCUGGAAUACAGUCGAAGGCCUGCAGAAAACCCUCAGACUGUGAUGGCUGCCUGGGCCUCUACACCUGCAAACUGCCAAGGGGAAAGUGCGACUUGAAAGCGGUGUCCCGGCAAACAGGUACCACAUAAACACAGCCAGAAAACCUAAUAUACAGGUGGCUUCUCCCAGAGUAUCCAACACAGAUAAAGACACUCGGUUCCUGUAAACUUUUAAAAAGGAUUGACCAGAAACAUUCCCUCAGGAGUUCGUGGUUCUAAGGUUAUCACCGGGUGGAGGACGGGGGUAAACUAAAUUAACUGAAAAUGAAAAGUGCUGUGCAAUAAAAUCGAACUUUGCAAGCUGUGCUCUAUUCACAUGAUAUAAAACGUUGUAAUUUUGAAUA
Elgaria multicarinata webbii is the source of this 3085-nucleotide RNA transcript. RefSeq lists it as uncharacterized. The transcript has 21 exons. The record is from RefSeq and is a predicted model, not a curated record. Lineage: Eukaryota; Metazoa; Chordata; Lepidosauria; Squamata; Anguidae.